Drosophila montana is the source of this 370-nucleotide long non-coding RNA. RefSeq lists it as uncharacterized. The transcript is spliced from 3 exons. The record is from RefSeq and is a predicted model, not a curated record. Lineage: Eukaryota; Metazoa; Arthropoda; Insecta; Diptera; Drosophilidae.
GUCAUCCAGUUUCUCAUGUAGAAACUACACACGACAAAUCGGAAGUUCGACUCGGAGCUCAGCAGAGAGAUCAACAAAACAAAAAUUCUAAAAAAAAAUGUAGUUCAAGUUGAUUUAAAUUCUUUGCUUGGUUUUAGCUUGUUUUGGUUUGUCUUUCGAGACGGCCCUUAGAAUAUCUAGAGCAGCCGAAGCACAGAUCUGUUAUAUUAGUUGUAAAUACUGGAGAUAUCUUCAGACCCUGUUCUUGUUUGUUCCUACCAGUAUAUUGCCAGACUAAAUAGUUCAAGGAAACUCUUCAAAGUGGAUAGCGUGCUGCAAAAUUAUAUGUCUGUUUCAUUUCUAAUAAAGCAAAUGUAUUUUACACAUUAAA